AUAGAGGAGUGACCAUGUAGGUACUAGGGAUGGAGGAGAGACCAUGUAGGUACUAGGGAUGGAGGAGUGACCAUGUAGGUACUAGGGAUGGAGGAGUGACCAUGUAGGUACUAGGGAUAGAGGAGUGACCAUGUAGGUACUAGGGAUAGAGGAGAGACCAUGUAGGUACUAGGGAUGGAGGAGUGACCAUGUAGGUACUAGGGAUGGAGGAGUGACCAUGUAGGUACUAGGGAUAGAGGAGUGACCAUGUAGGUACUAGGGAUAGAGGAGUGACCAUGUAGGUACUAGGGAUAGAGGAGUGACCAUGCAGGUACUAGGGAUGGAGGAGUGACCAUGCAGGU
Molecule: long non-coding RNA, 341 nt
Organism: Salvelinus fontinalis (brook trout)
Lineage: Eukaryota; Metazoa; Chordata; Actinopteri; Salmoniformes; Salmonidae
Exons: 5
Source: RefSeq, a predicted model, not a curated record